This 380-nucleotide long non-coding RNA is filed under the name Zonotrichia albicollis (white-throated sparrow). RNAcentral's name for it is "lncRNA (ENSZALG00000005806.1)". Lineage: Eukaryota; Metazoa; Chordata; Aves; Passeriformes; Passerellidae. The record is from RNAcentral.
AUGGAACAAUCUCAGAAAUUACAUUGUCAAGCUCCCUGCUCCUGCGUAGAAAGUUGCACUUCCAUAAAGAGGGUUUCAUCUCCACUUCUACAUUCCUGUCACUGCUCGACAGAUGUUGAAUGUGGAUCUGCUGCUUUGGGUAUGUUUCAGUAAGAAUGAGCCUACACUUCGCUUUGAGAAUAUUUCAGACUUCCUGAAGAAACUGUACAAACAUACUAAAAGCUUAAGCAAUUGUAAAUAGGAAAAAAAAUAAUGCUUUGCUACCUCAACAGCUUUCUCAGGUGGGUUGAUUUUGCAGGUAUGCCUGCACACAGAAGAUCCAGUGAUUUGACUGCUCCACACUAGUUUUGUCAUUGCUCCUUUAAAUAGCAAUCUUGUAC